This 497-nucleotide ribosomal RNA is filed under the name uncultured bacterium. Its description in RNAcentral is "partial 16S ribosomal RNA". It matches the Rfam family "Bacterial small subunit ribosomal RNA", at positions 28 to 507 of the family's 1533-position model. The record is from RNAcentral.
GAUGAACGCUGGCGGUGUGCCUAAUACAUGCAAGUCGAGCGAACGGACGAGAAGCUCGCUUCCCUGCUGUUAGCGGCGGACGGGCGAGUAACACGUGGAUCACCUACCUCUUUUUCGUGGAUAACUACGGGAAACAGGUGCUACUAACGCAUGAUACUUUGAACGGCAUGGAUCAGAGGAGAUUGACGGUCUUGGUGACUCUUAUAGAUGAUUCCGCGCUGGAUUAGCUAGUUGGUAAGGUAACGGCCUACCAAGGCAACGAUGCAUAGCCGACCUGAGAGGAUGAUCAGCCACACUGGAACUGAGACACGGUCCAGACUCCUACGGGAGGCAGCAGUAGGGAAUCUUGCACAAUGGGCGAAAGCCUGACGCAGCCACACCGCGUGAGUGAUGAAGGCCUUCGGAUCGUAAAGCUCUGUUGUUAGGGAAGAAAAGAUGUAGAUGUAACUGUGGAUAUCCUGACGGUACCCAAACAGAAAGCAACGGCUAACUUCGUG